AGUGAACGCUGGCGGUAGGCCUAACACAUGCAAGUCGAACGGCAGCACAGUAAGAGCUUGCUCUUACGGGUGGCGAGUGGCGGACGGGUGAGGAAUACAUCGGAAUCUACUUUUUCGUGGGGGAUAACGUAGGGAAACUUACGCUAAUACCGCAUACGACCUACGGGUGAAAGCAGUGGAUCUUCGGACCUUGCGCGAUUGAAUGAGCCGAUGUCGGAUUAGCUAGUUGGCGGGGUAAAGGCCCACCAAGGCGACGAUCCGUAGCUGGUCUGAGAGGAUGAUAGGGCACACGGGAACAGAGACACGGGCCAGACCCCGACGGGAGGCAGCAUUAGGGAAGAGUGCGGAAGGGGCGAAAGCCGGACGGAGCAAUGCCGGGUGAGGGAUGAAGGUCGUCGGAUCGUACAACGCUGUUACGAGGAAAGAAAAAAAGUGUAAGUAACCAUGCACGUCAGGACGGGACGUAAGCAGAAAGCCACGGCUAACCACGUG
RNAcentral lists this ribosomal RNA (492 nucleotides) under uncultured bacterium. RNAcentral describes it as "partial 16S ribosomal RNA". It matches the Rfam family "Bacterial small subunit ribosomal RNA", at positions 30 to 507 of the family's 1533-position model. The record is from RNAcentral.